Molecule: ribosomal RNA, 2895 nt
Filed under: Triticum aestivum (bread wheat)
Lineage: Eukaryota; Viridiplantae; Streptophyta; Magnoliopsida; Poales; Poaceae
Description: partial small subunit ribosomal RNA
Source: RNAcentral
AUGGAGCUCCUGAGCGGCCCGGCGCUGGCGUGGCAGCAGUACCGCUCGCUGCUCCGCAAGAACGCGGCGCUCGCCUGGCGCCACCGGCGCUCGUCGGCGCUGCAGCUGCUCUCCUCCCUCCUCUUCAUCUUCCUCAUCUUCUGCAUCGACCGCGCCGUCCGCUCCCGCUUCUCCUACACCACCGCCUACCAGAACGUGCGCGACCCCAAGGCGCUCGUCGCGCCGCCCAUCCCGCCCUGCGAGGACAAGUUCUUCGUCAAGACCCCCUGCUACGACUUCCUCUGGAGCGGCGGCACAAGCGCCCGCGUCCCCGCGCUCGUCGACGCCAUCCGCAGGAACAACCCCGGCCGCCCGAUCCCCGCCGAGAAGGUCUUAGGUUUUACGACUCCGGAUGAAGUUGAUGCUUGGCUAUUUGCAAACCCGAUGCGCUGCCCUGGCGCUUUGCAUUUUCAAGAUAUAAAUGCCACCCAGAUGUCGUAUGGUAUUCAGACAAACUCCACUCCAGUAGCUCGAAGAGGAACGUAUGAGGACCCCACCUUCAAGUUCCAGAUACCGCUUCAAGUUGCAGCUGAGAGAGAAAUGGCAAGGUUGAUUCUUGGAGAUCCCAAUUUUAGCUGGACUGUGGGAUUCAAAGAAUUUGCUCACCCAGCAACUGAAACCUUCUCUACGAUUGCCCAAGCAGGGCCAACUUUCUUCCUUGCCAUUGCAAUGUUUGGAUUUGUUUUCCAAAUCAGUGCCUUGGUUACAGAGAAAGAACUUAAGCUUCGUCAGGCUAUGUCUAUCAUGGGGCUCUAUGAAUCGGCUUAUUGGUUAUCAUGGCUUACCUGGGAGGCCUUGCUUACAUUAAUUUCAGCACUUUUCACGGUGCUCUUUGGGAUGAUGUUCCAGUUUGACUUCUUCCUGAACAAUAGCUUUGGAAUCUUAUUCAUCCUAUUCUUCCUCUUCCAACUGAACAUGCUUGGUUUUGCUUUCAUGAUAUCCACAUUUGUGGCAAAAGCAGCAUCAGCUACUACGGUUGGAUUUGCAAUAUUCAUCAUUGGGUUCUUGACACAGCUUGUUACAACCUUCGGGUUCCCAUAUUCAAAUACCUAUGAGGCGUACUACCGGACAAUAUGGUCCUUCUUUCCUCCUAAUGUUUUUGCCCAAGCCCUCAAUAUUCUAGGUAAGGCAACAGCAACUCCAGAAGACAAAGGUAUUAGCUGGAAUCAGCGUAAAACGUGCCAAUCCUUUGAGACGGACUGCGUCAUUACAGUAGAUGACAUCUACAUAUGGCUCAUCUCCACAUUUUUCUUGUGGUUUAUCCUGGCGAUCUACUUCGACAACAUAAUUCCAAAUGUCAAUGGUGUUAGAAAGUCAGUGUUUUACUUUCUGACGCCUUCAUACUGGACAGGGAAAGGAGGCAAGAUGAGAGAGGGAGGCCUUUGUAGCUGUUUUGGUUCGAACCGGCCGGCUGAUGAUGCUAGCCCUACUGAUGAGGAUGUUCUUACUGAGGAAAAUCUAGUAAAAGAACAAGCUGCAGGCAAUGAGGUAGAUCCUGGUGUUGCGGUUCAAAUACGUGGCUUGCGGAAAACAUAUCCAGGAAGUUUUAAUAUGGGUUGCUGCAAGUGCAGAACAACUAAGCCAUUCCAUUCUGUCAAAGGCUUAUGGGUGAACCUUGAGAAGGACCAGCUAUUUUGUCUUCUUGGCCCAAAUGGAGCUGGUAAAACAACUACAAUCAGUUGCCUGACUGGUAUCACACCAAUUACUGGCGGCGAUGCUUUGAUUUAUGGUCAUUCCGUUCGAAGCACUGCGGGCAUGUCUAAUAUUCGCAGAAUGAUUGGAGUCUGUCCGCAGUUUGACAUCCUCUGGGAUGCAUUGACGGCUAAGGAGCACAUGGAGUUGUUUGCCAGCAUCAAGGGGUUGCCAUCAUCAACAAUCAAGUCGGUAUCAGAACAGUCACUAGCCCAAGUGAAGCUCAGCCAGGCAGCUAAUGUUAGAGCAGGUAGCUACAGUGGUGGAAUGAAACGGCGGUUAAGUGUUGCGAUUGCUCUAAUUGGUGACCCAAAAUUGGUGUUUCUUGAUGAGCCGACAACUGGCAUGGAUCCAAUAACAAGGAGGCAUGUCUGGGACAUCAUCGAGGAGGCAAAGAAGGGAAGAGCUAUUGUAUUGACCACACAUUCAAUGGAAGAAGCUGACAUCUUAAGUGACCGAAUCGCUAUCAUGGCAAAGGGGAGAUUGCGGUGUAUCGGCACUUCGAUAAGGCUGAAGUCGAAAUUUGGAACUGGGUAUAUCGCUAAUGUGAAUUUCUCGGGGAAUGGUCACACACAGAGCCCUAACAUCAAUGGUGAUGCAGAGGCCCCAGUUAAUCCUAACAUAGAAUCUGUCAAAUCAUUCUUCAAGGAAAGGCUUGAUGUGGACCCGAAAGAGGAAAGCAGGACAUUCUUAACGUUUGUCAUCCCCCAUGAGAAAGAACCACUUCUGACGAGGUUCUUCGGGGAACUCCAAGACAGGGAAAGGGAAUUCGGGAUAUCAGACAUUCAGCUUGGUCUUACGACACUUGAAGAAGUCUUCCUGAACAUUGCAAAGCAAGCUGAGUUGGAGAGCUCUACCGCCGAAGGGACACUAGUGACUCUUAACCUGUCAUCCGGAGCAUCAAUUCAGAUACCGAAGGGGGCGCGUUUCGUGGGCAUUCCUGGAACCGAGACGGAGGAGCAUCCGAGAGGAGUCAUGGUGGAGGUGUUCUGGGACCAGGAUGACAACGGAAUGCUCUGCGUCUCUGGUCACUCUGACGAAACCCCUGUGCCGGCAAACGUGGAGCUGACAAGGCCUCCUUCGCUUUCGCGCAGGGCGUCAGUCGGCCGCGGAGGCCCUGUGGGGUACGUCAUUGACGAAAACCAGGUCCCAACAACAAGAUGA